This 73-nucleotide transfer RNA is filed under the name Ictidomys tridecemlineatus (thirteen-lined ground squirrel). RNAcentral's name for it is "Spermophilus tridecemlineatus (thirteen-lined ground squirrel) tRNA". It matches the Rfam family "tRNA". From Rfam's summary of the family: Transfer RNA (tRNA) molecules are approximately 80 nucleotides in length. Lineage: Eukaryota; Metazoa; Chordata; Mammalia; Rodentia; Sciuridae. The record is from Rfam by way of RNAcentral.
GGGGAUGUAGCUCAGUUGGUAGAGUGCCUUCCUUAUAUGCACAAGGCCCUGGAUGCACUCCCCAGCAUCACCA